AUGUUCUGCCAGAUCCUUGGGCAAGCCAAGAAGCAUGCCAGCUUGAUUCCUCUCUUCGUAUUUAUUGGAGCUGGGGGUACUGGAGCAGCACUGUGUGUGAUGUGCUUGGCAUUGUUCAAUCCAGAUGUCAGCUGGGACAGGAAGAACAACCCAGAGCCUUGGAACAAACUGGGUCCCAAUGAACAAUAGAAGUUCUACUCACUCAAUGUGGACUACAGCAAACUGAAGAAAAAAAGGCCC
RNAcentral lists this long non-coding RNA (240 nucleotides) under Mus musculus (house mouse). RNAcentral's name for it is "long non-coding RNA chrX:5984771-5985011". Lineage: Eukaryota; Metazoa; Chordata; Mammalia; Rodentia; Muridae. The record is from RNAcentral.